RNAcentral lists this ribosomal RNA (795 nucleotides) under uncultured bacterium. Its description in RNAcentral is "bacterial SSU rRNA". It matches the Rfam family "Bacterial small subunit ribosomal RNA", at positions 8 to 796 of the family's 1533-position model. The record is from RNAcentral.
AGAGUUUGAUCCUGGCUCAGGAUGAACGCUAGCGGCAGGCUUAAUACAUGCAAGUCGUGGGGCAGCAUAGGGUAGCAAUACUCUGAUGGCGACCGGCAAACGGGUGCGGAACACGUACGCAACCUUCCUUUAACAGGAGAAUAGCCCCUCGAAAGAGGGAUUAAUACUCCGUAACAUGAUGAUAAGGCAUCUUAUUAUUAUUAUAGCUCCGGCGGUUAGAGAUGGGCGCGCGCCUGAUUAGGUAGUUGGCGGGGUAACGGCCCACCAAGCCUGCGAUCAGUAACUGGUGUGAGAGCACGACCAGUCACACGGGCACUGAGACACGGGCCCGACUCCUACGGGAGGCAGCAGUAAGGAAUAUUGGUCAAUGGACGCAAGUCUGAACCAGCCAUGCCGCGUGGAGGAUUAAGGCCCUCUGGGUUGUAAACUCCUUUUAUCUGGGAAGAAAUCCACAUAUUCUUAUGUGGUUGACGGUACCAGAGGAAUAAGCACCGGCUAGCUCCGUGCCAGCAGCCGCGGUAAUACGGAGGGUGCAAGCGUUAUCCGGAUUCACUGGGUUUAAAGGGUGCGUAGGCGGGUAAGUAAGUCCGUGGUGAAAUCUCUGAGCUUAACUCAGAAACUGCCGUGGAUACUAUUUGCCUUGAAUAUUGUGGAGGUGAGCGGAAUAUGUCAUGUAGCGGUGAAAUGCUUAGAUAUGACAUAGAACACCAAUUGCGAAGGCAGCUCACUACACAAUCAUUGACGCUGAGGCACGAAAGCGUGGGGAUCAAACAGGAUUAGAUACCCUGGUAGUCC